CUCUUUUAAGGUAUGUUAAACUUGUGUGCUAUUACUUUUCCAUCGAUAAACACUUUGCUACAUUACAUAUUGGCUUUGUUAGAACAGUUAAACGAAUUAGCUACCCUAAUACAUCUGUUCAGCUACAAUGCACUGCCAUUUUUUAGUCUCACACAUACACACAAUAUUGAAGUAGCUACAGUAAUUAACUUGUUCAACUACAAUGCAAGCAUUUUGUCUUCCCACAUACAGUGCAUAUGCACACAUUACAACGGAAACCAGAUUGGAACUAGUUCAAUGUGAAAUGAAGGAUCCAAAAUUGAAGAGUAAAUGGUCAUCCUCUCUUUUAAGGUAUGUUAAUUUUCUGUGCUAUUACUUUUCUAUCCAUAAACACUUUACUACAU
RNAcentral lists this long non-coding RNA (383 nucleotides) under Olea europaea subsp. europaea. The record is from RNAcentral. Lineage: Eukaryota; Viridiplantae; Streptophyta; Magnoliopsida; Lamiales; Oleaceae.